GGAGAAGCAGGCUCCCUGCUGAGCAAGAAGCCUAAUAAGGGGCUGGAUUCCAGGACCCUGGGCUUAUGACCUGAGCUGAAGGCAGACGCUUACUCAACUGAGCCACCCAGAGGCAAGACUGAGACAGAGCUCCACUUCUGCCGCUGUGUGGGGGACAGACUGGAGGGUGAGGGAGGUGACGCUCUAUCCAGACACAAAAUGAUGGCCAUCUCUACGAUCUCUCUAACAGCGGAGGUGUGGCCAAGAAAGAAUAUUGGACACAUG
Molecule: long non-coding RNA, 264 nt
Filed under: Mustela putorius furo (domestic ferret)
Lineage: Eukaryota; Metazoa; Chordata; Mammalia; Carnivora; Mustelidae
Description: lncRNA (ENSMPUG00000031530.1)
Source: RNAcentral